CCUACGGGUGGCUGCAGUGGGGAAUUUUCCGCAAUGGGCGAAAGCCUGACGGAGCAAUACCGCGUGAGGGAGGAAGGCUCUUGGGUUGUAAACCUCUUUUCUCAGGGAAGAACACAAUGACGGUACCUGAGGAAUCAGCAUCGGCUAACUCCGUGCCAGCAGCCGCGGUAAUACGGAGGAUGCAAGCGUUAUCCGGAAUGAUUGGGCGUAAAGCGUCCGCAGGUGGCAGUGCAAGUCUGCUGUCAAAGGUCAGGGCUUAACCCUGAACAGGCGGU
Molecule: ribosomal RNA, 275 nt
Filed under: uncultured bacterium
Lineage: Bacteria
Description: partial 16S ribosomal RNA
Rfam family: Bacterial small subunit ribosomal RNA
Source: RNAcentral